Chinchilla lanigera (long-tailed chinchilla) is the source of this 370-nucleotide long non-coding RNA. RefSeq lists it as uncharacterized. The transcript is spliced from 2 exons. The record is from RefSeq and is a predicted model, not a curated record. NCBI's taxonomy places the organism in Eukaryota, Metazoa, Chordata, Mammalia, Rodentia, Chinchillidae.
UUGAAUUUGCAAAGAUUCUCCUGCCUCAGCCUCCUGAGUGCUGGGAUUACAGGCGUGCGCCACCAUGCCCAGCUGUACUUCUAAAUUCUUUAGAAGGCACCUGUCAUAAGACCUUCUGGCAAGUAAUCAUAAGAUGUGCAUAACUCAGAAUGUCUGCUGAUCUUCAGAAAACAUCAGAAUGUGGGUCAAAAAUUGGACCUGUUCAGGAUUGAUUACUCUGUAGCUAUUCUAUCCAUCUGUGGGUAAAAAAAAAACUUCCUCAAAUUUCCUGUAUAAAUUCUUCACUUGCAAUUAUUAGCUAAGCUAAUCCUUUAGGCUGCCACCUUCCAGUGAGUUGGCUCUUUGCAAUAAAGUUUUUUCUUUACCACUA